UGGUAUUGGGGAUUGAACUUGGGCACGGAGACGGUAUGGACAGACAAUUUUUGAAGGGGUUUUACUGUAAAGAGGGUCAGAGAAAUGGGCUGUAGUAAUUCUGGAAAGUGAAGUUAAAAUUUUUUAUUUUGAAGAGAAGGAACAUGCUAAAUUCUGAUGGAAAUGAUUCAGUAGGGAAGGUAAAAUGAAGAAUAAUAGGACAAAAGGGAAGGAUUUCUGGAGUAGGGUAAUUCCUGGUGUUCCAGAAGGGGCCUUAGUCUCUGGAGCUCUGAUCUUUCAGCUAUAACGGAAAGAAGAGUCUGAGGUACAAAUUCUGGUCAGGGGCAAAACUCCUCAAACUAUUCACACCAGUGUAACAUUUAGUAAUAAGCUUUGGUGGUAGAUUAAAAAUAUGAUUUGAUUUGUAAAAAAAAAAAAA
Molecule: long non-coding RNA, 418 nt
Filed under: Marmota monax (woodchuck)
Lineage: Eukaryota; Metazoa; Chordata; Mammalia; Rodentia; Sciuridae
Source: RNAcentral